GGUCAUUGUCAAGAUUGCUAACUUUCUACAGUGUGUUUUCAAUUAAGUAAAUAAAAUGUGGUAAUUAAAUCAAGAUUGCAUAAUAUGUUUUUGAUUUGUAAUCUCAUUUAAAUUAAUUAACUGACUCAAUCCUUGUUUAGUUUUUAAACUGGCCUAGUUAUGGAAAGAGUCCCCGGGAGCAAAUCCAGUUUUCUAUCUUUAAAAACAAGGCAGAGAAAUCUGGCAUGCUUAAGACUCAAGUGGAACUCACCAGCAUACCAUAAACAGGAGGGGAAGAGUGUUAGAGCUGAGGGGGAGGAGCUCUGUGACACGAUGUUGACUGGGGAAAAAAAAAUAGUUCUCACACUGGAGAGAAAUAAAUUGAAACAUUAUUUAUUCAAAACAUUUCUUUCCCAAUUUUAUGAAGAUUGCAUGUUUGUUGGGAGCAAAACAUUUCCAGCUGUAUUUUAAGUUUCUGAAGAGAGCUGAACAAUUUAUAAUCUUUCAUAAAUGCUGCCCGUAUCUCACAAGACUCCACGAACACGCCACUAUGUACUUCAAGGAACAAUUCACCAGUGCAGCUUGCCACAGAAAAAUAAUUGAGCACCUUCCAGAAACCUAGCCGGAUCCAGGAGGGUCCAGGACCAGGACGAGGCGCCCAUAACUCGCUUUCAUCUGGGAGAUAGUUUGGCUCUCAGAGAUACUACAUAAUACAUUCUCCCCUCACUCGGGAGUAAAGAGCCUGCACUUUGAGAAACGUGUGUGGAGCGAGCUGGAAAUAAAGCACAAUGCCCCGAGACUUGAAAGCAAAAUCAUGGAGGGGAAUUUAAAACUCCAUGCAGACUUUCCACAGAAAGCAAAUCGGCAUUCACGUUCUCGGUCUGGUAUCCUGUUAAAAGGAGCUUGUGGGAAAAGAAAUGAUACUUCCCCUGGAACCCCUUUGGUAUUUGCUCCCUGCCUGGCUGAGGCUAUCACACCUGCUCUAGCUUGUCCCCAGCUUGGUUCCCAGUACUCUAAAUCUUAUACAUCACAACUUUGCCUGCAAAAGUCCCUUCUGUGCUAUGCCAUUUCAUGUAUUUUCACCAAACUUAAUUUUUUUUUUUUAAUCUAAGUUAAAGCCAAACCGACACAGUACUCUCUAAUGUUUCACCUGUGAUCUUUGUUCCCCAGGCAGGACGUGUUCCCCCCACACUGACCUGAGUCUGGACUCCUGCCUUCCUCAGCCAUUUGUACUCUGACCCUCAGCAAACUUCCACAGGCCAGAAUCCGCUGUCACCUUGCCCACUCGUUUACAAGCUGGAUAAAAUCUCACCCACCCGUGUUCACACCAAUAAACCCAGUACUUGGGAGACUGAGGCAGGAAGGCCGUGGAGAGUGUGAUGCCUGCUUGGGCUUUUCAUAGUGAGUUCGAGGCCAGCCUGAGAUGCACUAGGAGACAUUAUCUUGAGAACAAAAAAGAUCAAGCUGAAGAAAACAAUACAGGAUAAGAAGGAGACAAAGGCUUAGUCUGAACUGAACGAACUGUAAAAGGAUUCCAAAAUGGGGCAAAGGAGUCUGGAAUGGCACUUCAUACCCCUGAACACAGACAGUGAGAAAGACCAAAAUAGUCUUAACAUGUACGUUACAUUUUAAUUACUACCCCCACCCAGUAAAGCCCUUUGUGAUGAGUACUCCUGUUUUCCCACCAGAGUCCUGACAAAAAUGGUAACACAGGACUGGGUCAGUGUCCAUCUGUCCUGCUUGCUAUAUGUUGAACUCAUGGGAUCAAGACCUGUCCAGUUUUAUUCGCAGCUGAUCACAACUCUCAGCACACAGUAGGUGCUCACUUCUGUCUGAAUGAACAGCUACAAUUCUCUUGGAAGCAGCAUGGAAGCUAGUAACACUUGAACAGCUUCAAAUUACAAUUACAGAGUCGGCAAUAACAAUCAUAAAUUUGGCUUGUUUGUGUUACCCACGUGUAUUUUCAUUUUUAAGGAUCCACAACUUCUCAACAAAUAAGAUGUUGCGGUUUGUUGGGUCAAUGACUCUGAAGUCCUAUUUUUACCUUUUACAAUGCUUACUACAGGAAUGUUCUCUAAAAUAUUCUUUACUUGAAUAAAAAAAAUGUCUCCUUUAUGUUUAGCCUAAAAAAUCAGAUGGGCCUGGUGGCCUAACCAUUAAUCCCAGCACAGCGGCAGGCAGAUCUCUAAGCAGGAAGCCAUUCAGGACUGUACUCUGAGAGCCUGUCUUUCAAAACAAAGUUUGGCCAAGUCAUUUAAAUGUUUAUGUUUAAAUCAUUAUAUGAGCUUAUAGAAAAAAAUGAUAGGCUUUUACGUCACAUAUUGAUUGUGUGUGAUUAAUCACCUAUCUUUGCUUUUUAUUACAUCCUGGAACGUAAUUCACUGAUGUUAUGGAAUACCUCUAUGUAAUCUAAAGGUUCCAACAGUGGCUUUAACAAUGGAUGGGGAUGAGGAAGAACAGAUUCCUACAAAGGGUAAAGGCGGGCCUGUCAACUGUCCAUCAACGGUUGCUGUUUCUGACGCGUCCUUAUCAUAGUAAUAGACGAAAGAACCAAAGAAGUCACUUGAGGAACAGGAAGUCCUCUGAUUGUGGUAGAUAAUGGCUUGAAUGUUCCCACAGUUCCUUGAUAAGUGGUUCAAAGAACUUCUGUCCCCAUGUUUUCGGGGCAGAACCUAAUUUACCAGGAAAGCUCCGUAUAUAGCAUACCAUGGAACUAACAUGUUUUCAACAGUAAAAAACACAGAAAGGAGACAGUCACUUCCUCUUGCAAGUCAAGGCUGCACGAGAGGAAAUCCACUCAAUUACAUUGAUAAAAUAAUUAGGAAAAAAAGCUUACCUAGGGUUUUCUUCAUUUUUUUUUUUAUGCUUUUUUUUUUUUUUUUUGGUUCUUUUUUUCGGAGCUGGGGACCGAACCCAGGGCCUUGCGCUUCCUAGGCAAGCGCUCUACCACUGAGCUAAAUCCCCAACCCCAGGUUUUCUUCAUUUUUUAAAGGACGAUCAAUAUUAUUCUACAGACAUGUUUAAAAGGACUAUAAAAGGUUUACAAUCUAAAGUUACAACGUAAGUUUAUAAUCUACAACCUGCAUGAAAUGAAACGCAAAAACUUGUUAUAAUUAUGAAAUAAUCAUGUUUCAAAUGAUAACUUUUAAGAAAACUGUUUCAAAUACAGAUAAUCUAACAGAAUGAUAAAUUGCUUUUUUUUAUAAGUCCACUGUUGAUUCUAUAGAUGGUUUCUUGGAAGAUGAAGAAAAAAAAUAAAAGGAAAGAAAUGCCUAGUGCCAUGGCUGUUUAAAGAAAGAGACAAAGAGAACCCAAAUUAAUAUGAGGACUCUGAAACUUCUCAGAAUACCUGCCAUUUCAUCUUUGGUUGAGAUUCAAAUUACCUCCUCAUAAUUCAACUCUAUAAGCUAAUUUCAAAAGCAUGGAAAGCAAACAAGUAUCUACAAACUUUCUAUCCCUAUGUCUUACCCCUAAAAAUACACAGACCUGCAUAAUCAUAUAAAUCAAUGACUUCAGAAGUGAUGCAAUCUUAGCCUAGAUCACCUCAAACCCUUUAGGAUAAAUUCAUCUUCCAUGUUUAACACAACCAUACCUAGAGUUCUUAUUUCUCUAAACUGAUUACCAGGCCAGCCUUUCAAAACUGACACUACCUUCCAAUCAAAGAAACAAACUAUGUGCAUAUCCGACCAACAGCAAAAUCAUAAAAGAACCCAGAAACCCAUGAUGAUAUUUGCAAGUUACAGAUACUUGCCAGGGCAGCAAACAAGAUCUUUGCAGGUUCUUGGUUUCUCCUCCUAAUGAGCAGAAAUUCUGGUUUCUUUUUUUUUUUUUUUUUUUAACCUUAACAACAACGACAAUGCAGCCCAUCACAGGUUGGUUCUUGUUUCAAAGAGACUUAGGUGCUGGUUCUAAUUAGAGAAGACCAAAUUCAUUUUGAAAAGAUUAUUAAAAUUUGAAUAUUAAUCAAGGAGAUCGCCUAUGGAGAAUUUUUAAGGAGAACAUUCAAUCCUGUAUCAGGUAGAAUAAAAACACUCAGUGAUUCAAUUCCAGCAAAAUGGAUAGAUAGAUAGAUAGAUAGAUAGAUAGAUAGAUAGAUAGAUAGAUAGAUAGAUAGAUAGAUGUGAGAAAACUGUGGAUGAUCUCAUAGAAGCCUCAGGCUUCCUCCAAUUCCUUUUCCUGGAAAGCACCCCCCACCCCUUGCAAAAGGGAAUGAAUAAAGAAUUGGUUAUCUGUCAGUUUCUGAAUACGGCCUUGACCAGUUUUGUUGGUUGACACUAGGUGGGAGCAAUGGCAGGACCAAAGAAA
Non-coding RNA from Rattus norvegicus (Norway rat), 4284 nucleotides. The record is from RefSeq and is a predicted model, not a curated record. Lineage: Eukaryota; Metazoa; Chordata; Mammalia; Rodentia; Muridae.